CUGCCAGCCACACUGGAUCUCUGCGAUGCUACAAGUUGAACAAAGGCAAGCGAACAGCUUCCGCUUUAGACCACCAAAAUAAAGAAAUGUACUCCUCUCUUUUCUCCAUAUACUAUGCACCUAAUCCACCUGGACUGUUGUCAAAAUUCUUCUCAAAGUGCAAAAGCAAACCAGCAAAUAAAAUUUAUAUUUUUCAGUAGGGUAAAA
Long non-coding RNA from Poecilia latipinna (sailfin molly), 207 nucleotides. RefSeq lists it as uncharacterized. The transcript has 2 exons. Lineage: Eukaryota; Metazoa; Chordata; Actinopteri; Cyprinodontiformes; Poeciliidae. The record is from RefSeq and is a predicted model, not a curated record.